RNAcentral lists this ribosomal RNA (460 nucleotides) under uncultured bacterium. RNAcentral's name for it is "partial 16S ribosomal RNA". It matches the Rfam family "Bacterial small subunit ribosomal RNA", at positions 338 to 795 of the family's 1533-position model. The record is from RNAcentral.
CCUACGGGAGGCAGCAGUGAGGAAUAUUGGUCAAUGGACGAGAGUCUGAACCAGCCAAGUAGCGUGAAGGAUGACUGCCCUAUGGGUUGUAAACUUCUUUUAUAUGGGAAUAAAACGUUCCACGUGUGGGAUUUUGUAUGUACCUUAUGAAUAAGGAUCGGCUAACUCCGUGCCAGCAGCCGCGGUAAUACGGAGGAUCCGAGCGUUAUCCGGAUUUAUUGGGUUUAAAGGGAGCGUAGGUGGGUUGUUAAGUCAGUUGUGAAAGUUUGCGGCUCAACCGUAAAAUUGCAAUUGAAACUGGCAGUCUUGAGUACAGUAGAGGUGGGCGGAAUUCGUGGUGUAGCGGUGAAAUGCUUAGAUAUCACGAAGAACUCCGAUUGCGAAGGCAGUUCACUGGACUGCAACUGACAUUGAGGCUCGAAAGUGUGGGUAUCAAACAGGAUUAGAUACCCGUGUAGUC